Molecule: transfer RNA, 66 nt
Filed under: Chrysomeloidea sp. 5 KM-2017
Lineage: Eukaryota; Metazoa; Arthropoda; Insecta; Coleoptera
Description: tRNA-Pro
Source: RNAcentral
CAAGGAAUAGUUUAUUUAAAAUUUUAAUUUUGGAGAUUAAAGAAGAGAGAUUUCUCUUUUCCUUGA